AAUCGCUAUCAUCUGAAACGUAUCAACUGAGAGAACUGAUUGAGUGAUUCCACUUAAGAAAAUCAAGAUGUUGCUGCUUCAAGGAGUACUUACUUACCAGGAAGAAGCAUGGGCCUCAGCAGACGCUGACCUCACACUCAGCUACAGAUGCAAUUUGCGCUAAUAAAAUACAUGGAGAAGUUC
This is a long non-coding RNA of Aethalodelphis obliquidens (Pacific white-sided dolphin), 183 nucleotides long. RefSeq lists it as uncharacterized. The transcript has 2 exons. Lineage: Eukaryota; Metazoa; Chordata; Mammalia; Artiodactyla; Delphinidae. The record is from RefSeq and is a predicted model, not a curated record.